GGCGGGGGGCCUAUACAUGCAGUCGAACGAGUUCUCGUUGAUGAUCGGUGCUUGCACCGAGAUUCAACAUGGAACGAGUGGCGGACGGGUGAGUAACACGUGGGUAACCUGCCCUUAAGUGGGGGAUAACAUUUGGAAACAGAUGCUAAUACCGCAUAGAUCCAAGAACCGCAUGGUUCUUGGCUGAAAGAUGGCGUAAGCUAUCGCUUUUGGAUGGACCCGCGGCGUAUUAGCUAGUUGGUGAGGUAAUGGCUCACCAAGGCGAUGAUACGUAGCCGAACUGAGAGGUUGAUCGGCCACAUUGGGACUGAGACACGGCCCAAACUCCUACGGGAGGCAGCAGUAGGGAAUCUUCCACAAUGGACGCAAGUCUGAUGGAGCAACGCCGCGUGAGUGAAGAAGGCUUUCGGGUCGUAAAACUCUGUUGUUGGAGAAGAAUGGUCGGCAGAGUAACUGUUGUCGGCGUGACGGUAUCCAACCAGAAAGCCACGGCUAACUACGUGCCAGCAGCCGCGGUAAUACGUAGGUGGCAAGCGUUAUCCGGAUUUAUUGGGCGUAAAGCGAGCGCAGGCGGUUUUUUAAGUCUGAUGUGAAAGCCCUCGGCUUAACCGAGGAAGCGCAUCGGAAACUGGGAAACUUGAGUGCACAAGAGGACAGUGGAACUCCAUGUGUAGCGGUGAAAUGCGUAGAUAUAUGGAAGAACACCAGUGGCGAAGGCGGCUGUCUGCUCUGUAACUGACGCUGAGACUCGAAAGCAUGGCUAGCGAACAGGAUUACAUACCCUGGUAGUCAUG
Molecule: ribosomal RNA, 794 nt
Filed under: Lacticaseibacillus paracasei
Lineage: Bacteria; Bacillati; Bacillota; Bacilli; Lactobacillales; Lactobacillaceae
Description: bacterial SSU rRNA
Rfam family: Bacterial small subunit ribosomal RNA
Source: RNAcentral